GGACUACUGGGGUUUCUAAUCCUGUUUGCUACCCACGCUUUCGCAUCUCAGCGUCAAUUACUGUCCAGCAAGCUGCCUUCGCCAUUGGUGUUCCUCCAUAUAUCUACGCAUUCCACCGCUACACAUGGAAUUCCACUUGCCCCUCCAGUAUUCUAGUUUACCAGUAUCCAAUGCAAUUUAGUGGUUGAGCCACUAGCUUUCACACCAGACUUAAUAAACCGCCUACAUGCUCUUUACGCCCAAUAAUUCCGGAUAACGCUCGGGACCUACGUAUUACCGCGGCUGCUGGCACGUAGUUAGCCGUCCCUUUCUGGUAAGGUACCGUCAGAUACAUAUCAUUUCCUAUAUGUAGUUUUCUUCCCUUACAACAGAGGUUUACGAUCCGAAAACCUUCAUCCCU
This 400-nucleotide unclassified non-coding RNA is filed under the name uncultured Mycoplasmataceae bacterium. Its description in RNAcentral is "contains 16S-23S intergenic spacer region". Lineage: Bacteria; Bacillati; Mycoplasmatota; Mollicutes; Mycoplasmatales; Mycoplasmataceae. The record is from RNAcentral.